Molecule: long non-coding RNA, 4092 nt
Filed under: Malus domestica (apple)
Lineage: Eukaryota; Viridiplantae; Streptophyta; Magnoliopsida; Rosales; Rosaceae
Description: long non-coding RNA (MDOM_LNC010023)
Source: RNAcentral
CAAAUGCUUAUCAUCAUUUACUAAUCCAUAUGCAUAAUUUAAACAUUUUCAUAUUCAUUAGAAGCAUACAGAAAAGAUACAUGGCACACAAGAUAUGUACUUUUCGACGUAGGAGCUCAAUUCUUGUAUACAGACACACUUCCUUUAGCUUGCAUUGGACCUCGUACUUUCCACUAAUGUAAAUGCCACAUCAAAAGUGAAAGAGCGACUCCGGAAACCAAUUACAUCCAUGUGCUUGCACUUCAAUGCAGAAACAGAACAAAACAUAAUCCUAAAGUUUUCGGACCAUCAUUAAACACGCAAGCAUAACAAACAUUCACAAUCCAGCAAAUGGGUGUUCAUAAUUUCAAGCAGAAACACCAAAAGUCAAAGAAAAUAAUGAAUUAAAUUAUGAAAAAUUUUGUACUCAAGUAUCUCCCGUGAACUUGAACCAAGUCUCAGCACAUUGCUUAUAAGCAGCACCCAAAUCCCCCUUGCAAGAACACCCCAAGUCAAUCGGGACCCCAGAGGCAGGGUCGGUCCCACCACCUCCCUCCAAACCCAAGUGGCAAAUCCUGCAAUUUCUCUCAACUUUACUCAAAUGCACCACCUUCUUCACCUUCGAAACCCCACUCUCUCCACUGAACAGCAUUGGAUGUCGUCAGAGUCAUCCGAGUCCGACGCACCGCUGCCUCCGGUGGCCAAACGGCGGUGGUGGGUUGUCUCGGGAGCUGACAUUCGUGAAACCCAGAAAGAGAAAUGGCGUGAAAUGGUAAAGUGUUAAAGUUGCGGCAUUCGGAGAUCAAACAUGGUGGGGUUAUAGAGCAGGUGGAGAUGUUUUUUCUCUAUCCUCAAUCAAAAUAUCAAUCUGCAGGCAUAUUUGAAAAAGCAAUAUUUCCAUCAAAGUGCAUUUCAUGGUUUCCAAGUUUAAAAGAUGUACGUUUGGAAUUUAUGAAGUUUGAAGGCGUGCUAUUUGAUCUGAAAACCCAUGGCCAGACAACUCCAAUAUUUCCCCAGUUACGUGAGUUGCGGAUAUUCGAUACUUCGUUUACACACUUGUGGAAAAACAUUCCGUCUGGAUUUCAAGGCUUCCAAAAUUUGAGAUAUUUGCACAUAAGUUAUUGUUCUGGUCUAGAAUAUGUGUUCUCGCAUUUAAUUGCCCGAGAACUUUUGAAUCUUGAAGAGGUAGAGAUAUCAACAUGUCUGGACAUGGAAACUAUAGUCAGAAUCACAAAGGAAAAAGAAGAAAAGGCGACAAAAGACAUGAUUUUGUUUCCGAAACUGAACACAUUUGAACUAGAAGACCUGCCUCGUCUCACAAGUCUUUUUCCAGAGGGAUCUACAUUUGUAUGGUCAUCCACAAAAUAUAUGCUGGAGAAUAACUUGAAGAAGGAUUCAACAAGUCAUGAUUUCAGCACUUCUCCAACAUGUUCAUCAAAUUGGUGCCCUGCUGGAUGUGGAUGCGCACCAUAUUCAAGACCAAACGCCCACCGCCCCAUUGAAAUAUUGCCACGUCCAAUUAACCUGGAGGUAAGCUUUUAAAUCAGGUUCAAUUAACCUCUAUAAGUACAACUUUUAAUUAGUAUUGUAUCAUCUUGUUGAUCGUGUAAUUUUCUAGGUUACACCAACUAAUCUUGAGGACUCAAAUGAUGAUGAUAAUCUCGAAAAUCUUACUGUAAAUGACUGUAAUUCGAUGGAAGUGAUUUUCCAACUCAAGGGACCGAAGCAGGAAGAAAGUAGUCACUCCAUUGAAGCAUUCAAUAAAUUGAGUUCCUUGCGGUUAGAUAGAUUGCCAGGUUUAACGCGUGUUUGGGAGAUGGGUAGUUCACAACCGAUGUUGACAGGAAGCAGCUUCGGAAACUUGAAAUCGCUGGAGGUUGGUUUUUGCAACCAGUUGAAAUACUUGUUUUCAUCGUCCAUAGUCAAACUUCUCGUGAGUAUAGAGGACAUAGAAGUUCAUAACUGUGAGAAGAUGGAAGAAAUCGUUGCCGCAGAAGAAGAAACUGAUGAAACAAUUACAUUACCUAAAGUGAAGUCCAUCAAGCUUGAAAGUCUGCCAAAACUCAAGUAUUUUUGUGGUGAAGCUUAUACUUUGAAGUUGCCGUCUUUGGAGUUAUUGGAGGUUAUUAAUGUGCAAGACUUAAGGCCAUUUGAUUCUAAGCUUGUUGACACGCAUAAUCCCCGAUUGCAAGUAAAACCCACAUUUCGACAGGAAUGGACAAGGUAUGCUUUAGAUUAAUGUUUCUAAUUUGCAUUCACUUUUGUGUCCACCUGAAAGACCGCAUCAUCAAUAUACAACCACUGAACCAACAAAGAUGACGAAAUCGACGGCAAGGAUGACGAUGACAAAAUCGAUGGCAAGGAUGAAGAUGACGAAACCAACAGGGAGGACGAACACAAUUGAUUGAUCAAGCACAAAGGUUAGAAUGCUUCCAUCUCCAACUUCUUCUAGGUUUAGUAAAAACUGAUGAAAAUUAUCUAUAUAGUACUCACAAAAAUAUUCUACCAUGUUUUAUAUAAUAUAUACAUACAUGUAUAGCACUUAAAAAAAUUGAACAGUUUGGAUCUAAAACCACAAUCUGCUACCUGUUUCAUUUUUUCGAGGUACCUAAUAGCAAUUAAGGUGAGAGGAAGAAGCAUUUCAGAUUACCAACUGCCUCAAGAGAAACCUUUAUCAGAAACACAUAUACAAUAAACAUAACCGUAGUGCUAAGUGGCCUAAAAAUUAAUUUAUCCUUAAACCGCUAUUUUUGGAAACACAUAUACAAUAAGCACAAGCGUUUCAACUUAUUCCAAUUUCAGUGAUUUCUAAUAUUCUCCAAUGCAUGCAGGAAAAGAGUUUAAAGAACGUUGUGGCUCCAGCAAUUCGUUUACCAUAUCAUAUGUACAAACCAAUAAAAGGACAUUUGUUGCACCAGAAUUUCAUUCCAAAAAUACUAUUUAUGUUGCUUAUUUUAUGUACCAUAAAUUUCGAUUGCGAUUAUUACUGUUUGUUUCUAAAUUCGCAUCAUUAGUGUUUGCUUAUUUGUGCUCGAGGUUGAUUAUACACGUGUAAGCUGAAUCACAUGUUUGUAGAAUGGACAAGCUGAAUAAAAUCUGUUUGCCCCCUAAAUGUAAUGGAAAUCAUAUGUAUCUAGGCAUGCUUAAUAUUUGAUAAAGAAAAACAUUUCUCAAAUAAAUGUCCACUCACACCUCCGGCAAGCUCUCCCUUGAGGAGCCUUGUCUACCAAAUAGGUAAACAUCUACUGGACAGCAAACUGCUGAAUACAACUAGAGUAAACAAGGAAUCAGGCUAUGCAAUUGCCAUCAUCAUAACAUGAUUUUGGCCCCCAUUUUCUAAUUUCCUACCACAUUUUCACAAUCUUUCCAUGAAUUUUAUAAUUCCUAUGCAACAGAGUUCGUUCAUCGCCUAUUCACAACAAUACAAGGUUCUACAGAGUUCAAUCCCACACCAUGUUAUAGACAUGCUUCAACUAUCAACCGGGAACGUAAUCGUUAGGGGUUUCAACAACUUCACUGAUACAACAAUUACUAUAAGUCUCAUCUCCGACAUUCAUACAGAAAAUCGAAUAAAAUUCGAAAUCAAGAAUCAAUCCCAAAACUGCAAGUUGAAAAUUUGGAAAAAGAACUUACAUUGGAGAACAGCCCACGAGAAGAGUAUCAUUUCUACCUCUUGGGUCGAGCUCCAAUUCCGGCGAUAUUGGCCGAAAACCCCUGGGUCACCGUUUCUUAGAUUUGAAGUUGAGGAAAAUCGCCUACGAAUUUAUAGAAACUAACUUGGGGGAUAGGAUAAGGGACGGCAAGAGCAUUCUGGAUGUGUAGUAUGAGAGCCUUUGGUGACCAGUGGACGACAGAGCUGUUGCGUCGGCACUCGGCAGUCUUCGGCUUGCUGUUAAAUGGGGCUCCUGUUGCAGCGCAACGCAAAAGAGAAGGAGGAGAGAGGAUACGGGAGAAGGAGAGAAAAUGGGUUUCUCCAACCUUUUUCAUUAGUUCUUUUCCACAUUUAUUUAUGGAAUAAACGAUAAUAUUUAUCAUCAAAAGUGUGUUUGGUACGUGAGAUGAGAAGGAACAUGUUUUGAUGAUAAUAAUGGCUAAAACUAAUAUAGUUCAAAU